CAGAUUAUUGCUCGACUACGCGGAAAAUUUGGAGAUGUUAGGAACAUGCAACGAAAUUACAAAUGGCGCCACAAAAUUCAAAAGGACGCCAUGAUGACUAAUGGUUUCUCAUUCCUUCCUUUUCAUCCUGUUUCCUGGAAAGGACUUAGUGAUGCUUAAAAAACCAAGAAUAUUUCUUCCAGUCUUUACUUUUUUUCAUGGGAUUCAACGAUUCCUGUCUAAUGAUAGGCUUCACGAUGACGUUCCAUAGGGCACAAUACAUCGAUGACAACGUUCUUCGCAACUAAUCGUGAGUCGCAUGCAUUUUUGUUCCUCUGGUCACUCAAUCAUGUUGUAGAAUGAAAGGUUUGAAGCAACACGGGUGACUGGUUGUAUUACGUUGAAUUUUUGACGAGCAUAGUGACCGCGGGUAUUUAUUAUACUCGCGAGUAGUAACAUUUUCUUGUAUGUGUUUUAUUUAUCAGUUCAGGAUAGGUUUUCUUGUACACCGCGUUUUCGAAUGUUGAUAAUAACACAUGAAGAAUGAAUAG
Bombus impatiens (common eastern bumble bee) is the source of this 530-nucleotide long non-coding RNA. RefSeq lists it as uncharacterized. The transcript is spliced from 3 exons. NCBI's taxonomy places the organism in Eukaryota, Metazoa, Arthropoda, Insecta, Hymenoptera, Apidae. The record is from RefSeq and is a predicted model, not a curated record.